CCUACGGGAGGCAGCAGUGGGGAAUUUUGGACAAUGGGGGCAACCCUGAUCCAGCCAUGCCGCGUGAGUGAAGAAGGCCUUCGGGUUGUAAAGCUCUUUCAGCCGGGACGAAACGGUUACGGUUGA
Molecule: ribosomal RNA, 126 nt
Filed under: uncultured bacterium
Lineage: Bacteria
Description: partial 16S ribosomal RNA
Rfam family: Bacterial small subunit ribosomal RNA
Source: RNAcentral